CUCUCAUAAUAUUAUUGAUGUCACAUGUUCUGGGUCUUCCUGAGUGGACAGUCUUGACUUCAGUCUGGGUUAGAGGCCAGUCUUCCAGAUAUAAGAAGUCACGGGGGAUAAGAGCCUCUAAACAUUGGCUGUCACUAUGGCAUGGAGAACUGAAGUGAAGAUGCUGGAGGACGGAGGCAAUCAUGGAAUGACAGAGGCUGGAAGAGGUGCCUUAGAGAUGAUCCAGUCCAAAUGGUGACAGAACAGUAAUCCCUUCUGCAAUCAACUUGAUAAGUGACCUUCCAACCUCUACUUAAAGGUGGAACAGUAAAGGGAAAUCUACAGUCUCCUGAAGAAGCCUAUUUUGCUUUUAUACAGCUCUAGUAAUAAGAAAUUUUACUGUAUAUUGAGACACAAUCUUCCUCCUGCAACUUCUGCUUGUUGUGCCAAAUUCUGCUCACUGGUGCCAAGCAAAAUAAAUCUUCUCUCUCUUCCA
This 475-nucleotide long non-coding RNA is filed under the name Monodelphis domestica (gray short-tailed opossum). RNAcentral's name for it is "lncRNA (ENSMODG00000041789.1)". The record is from RNAcentral. Lineage: Eukaryota; Metazoa; Chordata; Mammalia; Didelphimorphia; Didelphidae.